Molecule: ribosomal RNA, 449 nt
Filed under: uncultured Actinomycetes bacterium
Lineage: Bacteria; Bacillati; Actinomycetota; Actinomycetes
Description: bacterial SSU rRNA
Rfam family: Bacterial small subunit ribosomal RNA
Source: RNAcentral
AUUAGAGAUAGUGCCCCCCUUGUGGUCGGUAUACAGGUGGUGCAUGGCUGUCGUCAGCUCGUGUCGUGAGAUGUUGGGUUAAGUCCCGCAACGAGCGCAACCCUUGUCCUGUGUUGCCAGCAUGCCCUUCGGGGUGAUGGGGACUCACAGGAGACCGCCGGGGUCAACUCGGAGGAAGGUGGGGACGACGUCAAGUCAUCAUGCCCCUUAUGUCUUGGGCUGCACACGUGCUACAAUGGCCGGUACAAAGAGCUGCGAUACCGUGAGGUGGAGCGAAUCUCAAAAAGCCGGUCUCAGUUCGGAUUGGGGUCUGCAACUCGACCCCAUGAAGUCGGAGUCGCUAGUAAUCGCAGAUCAGCGUUGCUGCGGUGAAUACGUUCCCGGGCCUUGUACACACCGCCCGUCACGUCACGAAAGUCGGUAACACCCGAAGCCGGACGGCGAACCCG